AUUGAACGCUGGCGGCAUGCCUUACACAUGCAAGUCGAACGGUAACAGGUCUUCGGAUGCUGACGAGUGGCGAACGGGUGAGUAAUACAUCGGAACGUGCCCGAUCGUGGGGGAUAACGCAGCGAAAGCUGUGCUAAUACCGCAUACGAUCUACGGAUGAAAGCGGGGGGAUCGCAAGACCUCGCGCGGACGGAGCGGCCGAUGGCAGAUUAGGUAGUUGGUGGGAUAAAAGACUUACCAAGCCGACGAUCUGUAGCUGGUCUGAGAGGACGACCAGCCACACUGGGACUGAGACACGGCCCAGACUCCUACGGGAGGCAGCAGUGGGGAAUUUUGGACAAUGGGCGAAAGCCUGAUCCAGCCAUGCCGCGUGCAGGAUGAAGGCCUCCGGGUUGUAAACUGCUUUGUACGGAACGAAAAGUACUUCUCUAAUACAGGGGCGAAUGACGGUACCGUAAGAAU
Molecule: ribosomal RNA, 462 nt
Filed under: uncultured bacterium
Lineage: Bacteria
Description: bacterial SSU rRNA
Rfam family: Bacterial small subunit ribosomal RNA
Source: RNAcentral